AUUGAACGCUGGCGGCAUGCUUUACACAUGCAAGUCGAACGGUAACAGGCCUUCGGGUGCUGACGAGUGGCGAACGGGUGAGUAAUGCAUCGGAACGUACCCAGAGGUGGGGGAUAACGCAGCGAAAGCUGUGCUAAUACCGCAUCUGAUCUGAGGAUGAAAGCGGGGGACCGAGCAGCAAUGUUUGGCCUCGCGCCUUUGGAGCGGCCGAUGUCGGAUUAGCUAGUUGGUGGGGUAAAGGCCUACCAAGGCGACGAUCCGUAGCUGGUCUGAGAGGACGACCAGCCACACUGGGACUGAGACACGGCCCAGACUCCUACGGGAGGCAGCAGUGGGGAAUUUUGGACAAUGGGCGCAAGCCUGAUCCAGCAAUGCCGCGUGCGGGAAGAAGGCCUUCGGGUUGUAAACCGCUUUUGGCAGGAACGAAACGGUGUCCGCUAAUACCGGGCGCUAAUGACGGUACCUGCAGAAUAAGCACCGGCUAACUACGUG
This 492-nucleotide ribosomal RNA is filed under the name uncultured bacterium. Its description in RNAcentral is "partial 16S ribosomal RNA". It matches the Rfam family "Bacterial small subunit ribosomal RNA", at positions 29 to 507 of the family's 1533-position model. The record is from RNAcentral.